AGGAGGAACAACCGCAGUGGUUGCUCUGGAAACCUGGAUUCAGCCCCCGCAGUAACUCCGGAGCUCUCAGUCUGCAGGGCCUGGAGGCUCUGGGGCGGG
RNAcentral lists this microRNA precursor (99 nucleotides) under Canis lupus familiaris (dog). RNAcentral's name for it is "mir-8834 microRNA precursor family". It matches the Rfam family "mir-8834 microRNA precursor family". Lineage: Eukaryota; Metazoa; Chordata; Mammalia; Carnivora; Canidae. The record is from Rfam by way of RNAcentral. RNAcentral also lists the same sequence under 1 other name.